RNAcentral lists this long non-coding RNA (280 nucleotides) under Theobroma cacao (cacao). Its description in RNAcentral is "long non-coding RNA (TCAC_LNC000525)". Lineage: Eukaryota; Viridiplantae; Streptophyta; Magnoliopsida; Malvales; Malvaceae. The record is from RNAcentral.
UCCCUGUUACUCGCCUUUAGAUAUUUAUGAUAAUGUCUGUUUACUCAUUGGGAUUGCAAAAUCUCACCCACCUCCUUUCUAAACAUUUCAGGUCUGUGGUAGCUUGUAGAUACCCUAUUUUGUCGAGGAUUCCAGUUGACAUCUCUACCACACAAACAAUAGGUUUCUAGCACCAACACUGGGUGUAUUUUGGGUCACUUGUCAUUGUAACCAUUAUUGUACAUUAUAACUUUGUAAAUUUUGGUAUGUGUGAAUUUAUUUUACUUACACGUUACAAAAG